Neogale vison (American mink) is the source of this 853-nucleotide long non-coding RNA. RefSeq lists it as uncharacterized. The record is from RefSeq and is a predicted model, not a curated record. NCBI's taxonomy places the organism in Eukaryota, Metazoa, Chordata, Mammalia, Carnivora, Mustelidae. The transcript has 3 exons.
UGAACCCCAGAACGCAGUCCCGUUUGCUGAUGAGGGAACAGGCCCAGCAGGUCUGAGCUUACCCAGGGUUAUAAAGUGCCAGGAAGGAUCAGAGGGAGGUCUGGAAGGCUGCAACUCAAGUGGUGUUCCAAGGAGACGCCUCUUUGAGCACCCCGUCUACACCCGCAAAGAUGCGCACCGUGCUGCCACUGUCUUUGCUUGCUGCGACCAUCGUCAUCCUCAUGAUCUGCAUUCCUUCCCUUCCUGUGGUCCACGGUCCCCACUGCAAGGACCCCAGUGUCCCCGAGGGCCAGGACAUCUCACUCGCAGCCUUUCCAACGCUGCUUGGCACCCAGGAAGAGCCAGAGAUGGAACAUAAAGAAAUCCAACAAAUAUUUACACUGCAUUUCUCAUCAACAAAUCUGUUAACAUCACUGCCAGAGCCGAGCUCUGUCCACAACUCUGUGAACCUGAACCAAGAAAGCUCCCUCCACAUUUUCCUUUUGAGAACCUCACGCUGCCCCAGACGGCCCAGGGGAGUGAUCAGGACUGGGCCAAGUUGCUUCAGGGACCCUGUGCCGGUCUUUCCAGGUCUGUCGGGGACUUUGGGCAGUGCCUCCAGCCCUUCCUAGGCCCAUCCUUCACUACUGACUCAGAGUCCCUGGUUUCGGGGUCCCUCCAAGGCCCCUUUCAGGGCGCUCUCCCCUCUCUGGGCUGACGUGAAGAAUGGUCUGACUCCCAGACCCGUCCCUACACUCCCACCCUGACUCCCUCCUCACCCACGUCCCAAAUAACCAGGCCACACACCAGGUUUCAAGUAUCUGUCUCUUCCUUUCACUCUCUCAAAAGAAAAAAAUAAAUAAAUUGCAGAAGG